AGGAAGAGAAAGGCAAGGCAAAGGAAUGGAGGAGCAGUCGAACACCCCUCCAUUGUAGUGUAGAGGCUUCCCAAUGAGGCAGGUCCCAAAUGGGGAGACCCUUGAUGAAGUUGUAUAUGUAUUUUGAAAUUUUAACCCUUAUGAGAGACUGGACACUUUACUGAAGUUAUCUUGUUUUAAUGAUUCAUAGUGGCCGAAGGACUUCUAAAAUUAUGAUCUGAGUCAUCAAGAGAAGGAUAAUAAGACUAGGAAUAAGGGGAGUUCACGUUGUGGCUUGGCGGUAACGAACCCGACUAGUAUCAAGUUUGAUCCCUGGCCUCACUCAGCGAGUAAGGAUCCGGCAUCAUGGUGAGCUGUGGUGUAGGUCACAGACGUGGCUCCGAUCCUGAGUUACUGUGGCUGUGGUGUAGGGCGGCAGCUGUAGCUCUGAUUUGAGCUCUGGUCCGGGAACUUCUAUAUGCCUUGGAUGCAGCCCUAAAAAAAAAGAAUAGGAAUAAUGAUGAGAGGGAAGAGGAGGAGGAGGGAAGGAGGAGGACCACAGGGCUAUGAUUUUAUCCAGAGUGGAAGUGGCCCCACAGAGAGGAUGGGAGUUUUGAUGGGAAAAUCAGAGGCUCUAUUUGUAUUCUCUGUAGUUAUCCUAUUCACAUGCAAAAUUUACAGUGACUAAAAAUUUACCUUCCAGAGAAUGUGGAUCAUAAAUGUAAUGCUUCUCUUGCGCCCUCGUUCAUAUCCUUUGUGCCUUGACAGUGAUCUUUCUGGAUGAGGUGAUAGUAACAUCAUUUACAUAGAAACACUGACUUGAUAUAAUUCCGGCAAGUUUUUCCUCCGUGAGGGAUUUCCAGGUUGUGCUACUCUCUGAAUGGUCCCCAUACCCCAGGUUGGAGAUUGGAAAAAGGAGGUUUAAAGAGAACAUACAUAGACUUAGAUUAUUUCCCACCUCCUAUUCAUUAUAGCAUCCUUAUUUGUUCCAUAAAUAAUAGUCAUGAUGUGUGGUCAAGGCAUCGUGAAGGUAUGCAGGCACAUUUAAGUCAGCUUACAAAAAGAAAAAUAAUGCCGAAUCUAAUUGCAAAAUACAUCGAGUGUUUCAGCUCUCUCUGGCUUUGUGUUUUCACCCUCAUGACUAAAGAUGUCUUUGUGUGAGGUUAAUAAACUUGCCUGGAUCUGUUGCUUUUGAACACAAGCAGUGUUAUAGGGUCCUUAUGCCAUUUUGGUUUCUAACAAAGAUACAUUUAUUAUUUGCUUGUUUUUGAAAUCAUAUUACCACACGGUUGACAGCUUAUGAAAUUCAUCCAGAAGAAAAGCUGGAAAGCAAAAACUGAAAGUGAUAAUAUGAAAAUCCUAAAGAAGUCACCUGUAACAUUUGGGGAGUCACCUAGGCAAUUGAUCUCUCAAUUGAGGGCAGAUAUUCCCAAAUUAAAUGUAGUAGCCCAGAGAAGUAAAGAGCUGAAAGUCACAGCUUUUUUUAUUGUCAGAGUGGGGCAUGCAAAGAAACGAAGACUUGCAACUCUUGUGGAGCAUGAAAAUAUACCCUUACCUUGUUCAGACACUUGAUAGCACAGCAGCAGUACGAAGCUGCGUUCUCCCUGGGUGGCAGGUGCAUUUGCAGGCUGCUGAGGUCACGUUGAUUGCUGAGGGGACAGCUGGCAGUCUGAAGAUGCAAGCUGACCCGAUGAAGUCAUCACUACUCCCCUGCUGAGAUUGUUAGGCUUGUUUCUCUUGCCAUAUACUGUUUCCUUCGUAGAUACUGUUUCUAAUGUGAAUACAAUGAUCUUGAUGGGCAAUUACUUUUAAAAAGCCAUGAACAUUAUUAAAACUUUCAUGAGAGCUCAUAUUUGAUGUUAAAAUACAACUCAUUCACUUAUACAUGCCUCUGCACUGCCAGUACUUGACUCAUUGUAUUUCCUUUGUUGAUAAAAAAAUAAAAUAAAAACUAAAAAUAAGAGUUCCCAUUGUGGCUAAGCAGAAACAGAUCUGACUAGCAUCCUUGAGCACUCAGGUUCAAUUCCUGGCCUUGCUCAUUGGGUUAAGUAUCCAGCUUUGCUGCACGCUGAUGUGUAGGUUGUGGACAUGGCUCGGAUUCCGUGUUGCUGUGGCUUUGGCAUAGGCUGGGAACUACAGCUCAGAUUUGACCCUUAGCCCAGGAACCUCCAUAUGCCACAGGUGCGGCCCUAAAAAGACAAAGG
This 2183-nucleotide long non-coding RNA is filed under the name Sus scrofa (pig). Its description in RNAcentral is "lncRNA (ENSSSCG00065008570.1)". Lineage: Eukaryota; Metazoa; Chordata; Mammalia; Artiodactyla; Suidae. The record is from RNAcentral.